CGUGAUGACGAGGCACUACGGUGCUGAAGCAACAAAUGCCCUGCUUCCAGGAAAAGCCUCUAAGCAUCAGGUAACAUCAAAUCGUACCCCAAACCGACACAGGUGGUCAGGUAGAGAAUACCAAGGCGCUUGAGAGAACUCGGGUGAAGGAACUAGGCAAAAUGGUGCCGUAACUUCGGGAGAAGGCACGCUGACACGUAGGUGAAGUGAUUUACUCACGGAGCUGAAGUCAGUCGAAGAUACCAGCUGGCUGCAACUGUUUAUUAAAAACACAGCACUGUGCAAACACGAAAGUGGACGUAUACGGUGUGACGCCUGCCCGGUGCCGGAAGGUUAAUUGAUGGGGUCAGCGCAAGCGAAGCUCCUGAUCGAAGCCCCGGUAAACGGCGGCCGUAACUAUAACGGUCCUAAGGUAGCGAAAUUCCUUGUCGGGUAAGUUCCGACCUGCACGAAUGGCGUAAUGAUGGCCAGGCUGUCUCCACCCGAGACUCAGUGAAAUUGAACUCGCUGUGAAGAUGCAGUGUACCCGCGGCAAGACGGAAAGACCCCGUGAACCUUUACUAUAGCUUGACACUGAACAUUGAGCCUUGAUGUGUAGGAUAGGUGGGAGGCUUUGAAGUGUGGACGCCAGUCUGCAUGGAGCCGACCUUGAAAUACCACCCUUUAAUGUUUGAUGUUCUAACGUGGACCCGUAAUCCGGGUUGCGGACAGUGUCUGGUGGGUAGUUUGACUGGGGCGGUCUCCUCCUAAAGAGUAACGGAGGAGCACGAAGGUUGGCUAAUCCUGGUCGGACAUCAGGAGGUUAGUGCAAUGGCAUAAGCCAGCUUGACUGCGAGCGUGACGGCGCGAGCAGGUGCGAAAGCAGGUCAUAGUGAUCCGGUGGUUCUGAAUGGAAGGGCCAUCGCUCAACGGAUAAAAGGUACUCCGGGGAUAACAGGCUGAUACCGCCCAAGAGUUCAUAUCGACGGCGGUGUUUGGCACCUCGAUGUCGGCUCAUCACAUCCUGGGGCUGAAGUAGGUCCCAAGGGUAUGGCUGUUCGCCAUUUAAAGUGGUACGCGAGCUGGGUUUAGAACGUCGUGAGACAGUUCGGUCCCUAUCUGCCGUGGGCGCUGGAGAACUGAGGGGGGCUGCUCCUAGUACGAGAGGACCGGAGUGGACGCAUCACUGGUGUUCGGGUUGUCAUGCCAAUGGCACUGCCCGGUAGCUAAAUGCGGAAGAGAUAAGUGCUGAAAGCAUCUAAGCACGAAACUUGCCCCGAGAUGAGUUCUCCCUGAGACUUAGAGUCUCCUGAAGGAACGUUGAAGACGACGACGUUGAUAGGCCGGGUGUGUAAGCGCAGCGAUGCGUUGAGCUAACCGGUACUAAUGAACCGUGAGGCUUAACCUUACA
This 1390-nucleotide ribosomal RNA is filed under the name Salmonella enterica subsp. enterica. RNAcentral describes it as "partial 23S ribosomal RNA". It matches the Rfam family "Bacterial large subunit ribosomal RNA", at positions 1562 to 2925 of the family's 2925-position model. RNAcentral also lists the same sequence under 1 other name. Lineage: Bacteria; Pseudomonadati; Pseudomonadota; Gammaproteobacteria; Enterobacterales; Enterobacteriaceae. The record is from RNAcentral.